Non-coding RNA from Prunus avium (sweet cherry), 457 nucleotides. The record is from RefSeq and is a predicted model, not a curated record. NCBI's taxonomy places the organism in Eukaryota, Viridiplantae, Streptophyta, Magnoliopsida, Rosales, Rosaceae.
UUUCCUGUUCUACAGUUGUGUUGUGAUAGAGGACAGCGGCAUAGGCCUUGCAGCUGCCAAAGCCGCUGGAAUGAAGUGUAUAGUAACUAAGAGCGGAUACACAGCCAAUCAAGAAUUUCCGAAUGCAGAUGCAGUCUUCGACUUCAUUGGAGAUCCCCCGGAGGAGCGAUUCGACUUGGCAUUCUGCGGAAGCCUUCUCAAGCAGUGAGCUAGCUCAGUUUUCAGUAAUUAUCUGUUCCAUCUAAAAUUCGUUGGAUAGUGAUUAGGGUUUCAGCAAAGAUAAUAAAAAAAAUGCCAGUGCAUUUUGUAGUAGUCUUGAUGUAUAUUAAAGUGCAAAUUAGCAAUUCUCAAGCAGACAAAGUUUUCAUUUGUGAAUCUCUGGAUGAAGUAUUAUAAGGAGCUUCCAUUGCUAAGGCAAGCUUUUGGAAUGAUCUUAAGCUAUGAAUUCUUUCAUUUG